GAACCGGUAGCUCAGUUGGUAGAGCAACAGACUUUUAAUCUGUGGGUCCAGGGUUCGAUUCCCUGCCGGUUCA
This 73-nucleotide transfer RNA is filed under the name Chlorobiota bacterium. RNAcentral describes it as "tRNA-Lys". It matches the Rfam family "tRNA". Rfam says of the family: Transfer RNA (tRNA) molecules are approximately 80 nucleotides in length. Their secondary structure includes four short double-helical elements and three loops (D, anti-codon, and T loops). The record is from RNAcentral. Lineage: Bacteria; Pseudomonadati; Chlorobiota.